GGAGUUAGCCGGUGCUUCUUCUGUGAGUGAUGUCCUUCCUGCCGGCUAUUAACCCGCAGGCCUUCUUCCUCACUGAAAGUGCUUUACAACCCGAAGGCCUUCUUCACACACGCGGCAUGGCUGGAUCAGGGUUGCCCCCAUUGUCCAAUAUUCCCCACUGCUGCCUCCCGUAGGAGUCUGGGCCGUGUCUCAGUCCCAGUGUGGCUGAUCAUCCUCUCAGACCAGCUACGGAUCGUCGCCUUGGUGAGCCGUUACCUCACCAACCAGCUAAUCCGACAUAGGCUCAUCCGAUAGCGCGAGGCCCGAAGGUCCCCCGCUUUCCCCCGUAGGGCGUAUGCGGUAUUAGCCUGGGUUUCCCCAGGUUAUCCCCCACUACCGGGCAGAUUCCUAUGCAUUACUCACCCGUCCGCCGCUCGCCACCAGGGAGCAAGCUCCCCGUGCUGCCGCUCGACUUGCAUGUGUUAGGCCUGCCGCCAGCGUUCAAUCUGAGCCANGAUCAACUACUCGA
RNAcentral lists this ribosomal RNA (508 nucleotides) under uncultured bacterium. RNAcentral describes it as "partial 16S ribosomal RNA". The record is from RNAcentral.